GACGAACGCUGGCGGCGUGCUUAACACAUGCAAGUCGAACGGAAAGGCCCUGCUUUUGUGGGGUGCUCGAGUGGCGAACGGGUGAGUAACACGUGAGUAACCUGCCCUUGACUUUGGGAUAACUUCAGGAAACUGGGGCUAAUACCGGAUAGGAGCUCCUGCUGCAUGGUGGGGGUUGGAAAGUUUCGGCGGUUGGGGAUGGACUCGCGGCUUAUCAGCUUGUUGGUGGGGUAGUGGCUUACCAAGGCUUUGACGGGUAGCCGGCCUGAGAGGGUGACCGGGCACAUUGGGACUGCGAUACGGACCAGAAUCCUACGGGACGCAGCAGUCGGGAAUAUUGCACAAUGGGCGGAAGCCUGAGGCAGAAACGCCGCGUGCGGGAUGCCGUCCUACGGGUUGUAAACCGCUGUCGAAUGUGCCGAAGCGUGAGUGACGGUAAUGGGUCAAGAAGCACCGGCUAACUACGUG
RNAcentral lists this ribosomal RNA (468 nucleotides) under uncultured bacterium. RNAcentral's name for it is "partial 16S ribosomal RNA". It matches the Rfam family "Bacterial small subunit ribosomal RNA", at positions 28 to 507 of the family's 1533-position model. The record is from RNAcentral.